Molecule: RNase P RNA, 439 nt
Filed under: Candidatus Cloacimonadota bacterium
Lineage: Bacteria; Pseudomonadati; Candidatus Cloacimonadota
Description: RNase P RNA component class A
Rfam family: Bacterial RNase P class A
About the family: Ribonuclease P (RNase P) is a ubiquitous endoribonuclease, found in archaea, bacteria and eukarya as well as chloroplasts and mitochondria.
Source: RNAcentral
AGAGAAGAUAAAAUGUCUGCCCUGCACUUACUUUGAAAGUCUGAAAUGAAUGUCUUACAAAGUAAGUGCAGGAAGGAAAGUCCGAACACCAUAGGAUGGGAUACUUCCUAACUGGAAGUCGCGGUAACGCAGAGAUAGCUCCACAGAAACAAACCGUUCUAUUUUACAUAGAAUAAGGGUGAAAUGGUAGUGUAAGAGACUACCGGAUUUCGUUGUGAAGCGAAAUGCCGGGAAAGCCUUAUCCGGUGCAAUGCCAAAUAGGAAAGAAGUUUCGGUUUUACCGAACACGAACUGAUCCGGUUCGUCAUACUUUCGGGUGGGCAGCAUAAAUCGGUUAGAAAAUAAGCUUAUAAAGCGCAGCAAUGUCCGAUUUAGAUAAAUAGACAUUGGUUUACUUGUUAGGUAAAUCACAGAAUUCGGCUUAAUAUCUUCUUUGACG